RNAcentral lists this ribosomal RNA (409 nucleotides) under Actinomycetes bacterium. RNAcentral's name for it is "Actinobacteria bacterium partial 16S ribosomal RNA". It matches the Rfam family "Bacterial small subunit ribosomal RNA", at positions 355 to 776 of the family's 1533-position model. Lineage: Bacteria; Bacillati; Actinomycetota; Actinomycetes. The record is from RNAcentral.
UGGGGAAUAUUGCACAAUGGGCGGAAGCCUGAUGCAGCGACGCCGCGUGGGGGAUGAAGGCCUUCGGGUUGUAAACUCCUUUCGACAGGGACGAAGCUUUUGUGACGGUACCUGUAUAAGAAGCACCGGAUAACUACGUGCCAGCAGCCGCGGUAAUACGUAGGGUGCGAGCGUUGUCCGGAAUUACUGGGCGUAAAGAGCUCGUAGGUGGUUUGUCGCGUCGUCUGUGAAAUUCCGGGGCUUAACUCCGGGCGUGCAGGCGAUACGGGCUGACUUGAGUGCUGUAGGGGAGACUGGAAUUCCUGGUGUAGCGGUGAAAUGCGCAGAUAUCAGGAGGAACACCGAUGGCGAAGGCAGGUCUCUGGGCAGUAACUGACGCUGAGGAGCGAAAGCAUGGGUAGCGAACAGG